Molecule: small RNA, 302 nt
Filed under: uncultured bacterium
Lineage: Bacteria
Description: bacterial SSU rRNA
Rfam family: Bacterial small subunit ribosomal RNA
Source: RNAcentral
AUGCAAGUCGAGCGAUACAACCCUUCGGGGUGGAUUAGCGGCGGACCGGUGAGUAACACGUGGGUAACCUGCCUCAAAGAGGGGGAGAGCCUCCCGAAAGGGAGAUUAAUACCGCAUAACAUUAUUUCUUCGCAUGAAGAGAUAAUCAAAGGAGUAAUCCGCGUUGAGAUGGACCCGCGGCGCAUUAGCUACUUGGUGAGGUAAUAGCUCACCAAGGCGACGAUGCGUAGCCGACCUGAGAGGGUGAUCGGCCACAUUGGAACUGAGAUACGGUCCACACUCCUACGGGAGGCAGCAGUGGG